AUUAAGGGUGUGCUCCAAAACAAACAACAAUAAUUAAAUAUUACAAAAUGAAGAAUAACUUCAGGUAUACGUUGAUAAUUUUAAUCAUCUAUUUAUUAGUUAUUUUGUGUCUUGGUUGUAGUUAACAUUUAUUUAUUUAUAACUUUAGGUAUACGUUGAUAAUUUUAAUAAUCUAUUUAUUAGUUAUUUUGUGUCUUGGUUGUAGUGAACAUUUAUUUAUUUAUUUAUUUAUUUAUUUAUUUAUUUAUUUAUUUAUUUAUUAUACAGCAUUCUGCCUGCAUAUAUGCCUGUAGGCCAGAAGAGGGCACCACACCUCAUUACAGAUGGUUGUGAACCACCAUGUGGUUGCUGUGAAUUGAACUCAGGACUUCUGGAAAAGUAGGCUAUGUUCUUCAUCACUUAGCCAUCUCUCCAGCUCUAUAGUGAAGAGUUUUGAAGACAAAUAGCUCUUUUGAGAAUACAUCUAAAAUUAAUAUUUUGGUCUAUUAUCCUAACAUUGACUUACAUAUCAAUGAAGAAUAUUUUUAUAUAAUCACAUUUAUUUUGUUUAGUUUAUUAUGUUGUUGUUAAUAAAACAUAG
Molecule: long non-coding RNA, 580 nt
Filed under: Mus musculus (house mouse)
Lineage: Eukaryota; Metazoa; Chordata; Mammalia; Rodentia; Muridae
Description: long non-coding RNA chr8:126560811-126561391
Source: RNAcentral